This 595-nucleotide ribosomal RNA is filed under the name uncultured Bacteroidota bacterium. RNAcentral describes it as "bacterial SSU rRNA". It matches the Rfam family "Bacterial small subunit ribosomal RNA", at positions 122 to 715 of the family's 1533-position model. The record is from RNAcentral. Lineage: Bacteria; Pseudomonadati; Bacteroidota.
CAACCUGCCCACCACUUGGGGAUAACCUUGCGAAAGUAAGACUAAUACCCAAUGAUAUCUCUAGAAGACAUCUGAAGGAGAUUAAAGAUUUAUCGGUGAUGGAUGGGGAUGCGUCUGAUUAGCCUGUUGGCGGGGUAACGGCCCACCAAGGCUACGAUCAGUAGGGGUUCUGAGAGGAAGGUCCCCCACAUUGGAACUGAGACACGGUCCAAACUCCUACGGGAGGCAGCAGUGAGGAAUAUUGGUCAAUGGGCGAGAGCCUGAACCAGCCAAGUAGCGUGCAGGAUGACGGCCCUAUGGGUUGUAAACUGCUUUUAUAAGGGAAUAAAGUGAGUCUCGUGAGACUUUUUGCAUGUACCUUAUGAAUAAGGACCGGCUAAUUCCGUGCCAGCAGCCGCGGUAAUACGGAAGGUCCGGGCGUUAUCCGGAUUUAUUGGGUUUAAAGGGAGCGUAGGCCGGAGAUUAAGCGUGUUGUGAAAUGUAGAUGCUCAACAUCUGCACUGCAGCGCGAACUGGUUUCCUUGAGUACGCACAAAGUGGGCGGAAUUCGUGGUGUAGCGGUGAAAUGCUUAGAUAUCACGAAGAACUCCGAUUG